This 29-nucleotide small RNA is filed under the name Bombyx mori (domestic silkworm). RNAcentral describes it as "ovarian small RNA-15235". The record is from RNAcentral. Lineage: Eukaryota; Metazoa; Arthropoda; Insecta; Lepidoptera; Bombycidae.
GAAGCCCUCAAUACAAUGUUCCGAAUCAU